UCUCUCCUGGAAACGGGUGGUAAUGCCGGAUGUUCCACAUGAUCGCAUGUGAUUGUGGGAAAGAUUCUAUCGGCGUGGGAUGGGGUCGCGUCCUAUCAGCUUGUUGGUGAGGUAACGGCUCACCAAGGCUUCGACGGGUAGCCGGCCUGAGAGGGCGACCGCCCACAUUGGGACUGAGAUACGGCCCAGACUCCUACGGGAGGCAGCAGUGGGGAAUAUUGCACAAUGGGCGCAAGCCUGAUGCAGCGACGCCGCGUGAGGGAUGGAGGCCUUCGGGUUGUAAACCUCUUUUGUUUGGGAGCAACCCUUCGGGUGAGUGUACCUUUCGAAUAAGCGCCGGCUAACUACGUGCCAGCAGCCGCGGUAAUACGUAGGGCGCAAGCGUUAUCCGGAUUUAUUGGGCGUAAAGGGCUCGUAGGCGGCUCGUCGCGUCCGGUGUGAAAGUCCAUCGCUUAACGGUGGAUCUGCGCCGGGUACGGGCGGGCUGGAGUGCGGUAGGGGAGACUGGAAUCCCGGUACCGAAG
RNAcentral lists this ribosomal RNA (524 nucleotides) under Bifidobacterium bifidum. RNAcentral's name for it is "bacterial SSU rRNA". It matches the Rfam family "Bacterial small subunit ribosomal RNA", at positions 144 to 681 of the family's 1533-position model. Lineage: Bacteria; Bacillati; Actinomycetota; Actinomycetes; Bifidobacteriales; Bifidobacteriaceae. The record is from RNAcentral.